Molecule: ribosomal RNA, 119 nt
Filed under: Pteropus alecto (black flying fox)
Lineage: Eukaryota; Metazoa; Chordata; Mammalia; Chiroptera; Pteropodidae
Source: RNAcentral
GUCUAUGGCCAUGCUACCCUGAACAAGCCCAAACCCUUCUGAUCUCAGAAGCUAAGCAGGGUUGGGACUGCUUAGUACUUAGAUGGGAGACCACCUAGGAAGACCAGGUGCUGUAGGCG